Molecule: ribosomal RNA, 357 nt
Filed under: Phyllopsora malcolmii
Lineage: Eukaryota; Fungi; Ascomycota; Lecanoromycetes; Lecanorales; Ramalinaceae
Description: SSU rRNA
Rfam family: Bacterial small subunit ribosomal RNA
Source: RNAcentral
AUAUAUAUGAUGCAAUAUCGACUCUGUCGAAUAAAAUUCUGGUUAGAACUAUGAUAAUGACAUUAUUUAGCCAUGUGUCUUGACCAAAUUACGUGCCAGCAGUCGCGGUAAUACGUAGAAGACUAGUGUUAUUCAUCUUUAAUUGGUUUAAAGGGUACCCAGACGGUAAAUCAAGCUCUAGACGGAACUAAUUUACUAGAGUUACUUGCGCGGGGGUUUUUAAGUACUAAUGGUGUAGAGAUAAAAUUUUGUAAUACCAUUUUUCGAAAGAAAAGUAACGGCACUGGUAAAGGCGAAAGCAUCCCCUUAUGUGAUAACUGACGUUGAAGGACGAAGGCUUUGGAUCGCAAAUAGGAU